RNAcentral lists this ribosomal RNA (874 nucleotides) under uncultured bacterium. Its description in RNAcentral is "bacterial SSU rRNA". It matches the Rfam family "Bacterial small subunit ribosomal RNA", at positions 33 to 897 of the family's 1533-position model. The record is from RNAcentral.
ACGCUAGCUACAGGCUUAACACAUGCAAGUCGAGGGGAAACGACAUCGAAAGCUUGCUUUUGAUGGGCGUCGACCGGCGCACGGGUGAGUAACGCGUAUCCAACCUGCCCACCACUUGGGGAUAACCUUGCGAAAGUAAGACUAAUACCCAAUGAUAUCUCUAGAAGACAUCUGAAAGAGAUUAAAGAUUUAUCGGUGAUGGAUGGGGAUGCGUCUGAUUAGCUUGUUGGCGGGGUAACGGCCCACCAAGGCAACGAUCAGUAGGGGUUCUGAGAGGAAGGUCCCCCACAUUGGAACUGAGACACGGUCCAAACUCCUACGGGAGGCAGCAGUGAGGAAUAUUGGUCAAUGGACGCAAGUCUGAACCAGCCAAGUAGCGUGCAGGAAGACGGCCCUCUGGGUUGUAAACUGCUUUUAUAAGGGAAUAAAGUGAGAGUUGUGACUCUUUUUGCAUGUACCUUAUGAGUAAGGACCGGCUAAUUCCGUGCCAGCAGCCGCGGUAAUACGGAAGGUCCGGGCGUUAUCCGGAUUUAUUGGGUUUAAAGGGAGCGUAGGCCGGAGAUUAAGCGUGUUGUGAAAUGUAGAUGCUCAACGUCUGCACUGCAGCGCGAACUGGUUUCCUUGAGUACGCACAAAGUGGGCGGAAUUCGUGGUGUAGCGGUGAAAUGCUUAGAUAUCACGAAGAACUCCGAUUGCGAAGGCAGCUCACUGGAGCGCAACUGACGCUGAAGCUCGAAAGUGCGGGUAUCGAACAGGAUUAGAUACCCUGGUAGUCCGCACGGUAAACGAUGGAUGCCCGCUGUUGGUCUGAAUAGGUCAGCGGCCAAGCGAAAGCAUUAAGCAUCCCACCUGGGGAGUACGCCGGCAACGGUGA